UGGGGUCGUUGCUUCCUAUGCUUUCAUCUAAAUCAAUUGUUAAUAGUCCUUGGCUCCUGGGACUACUAGUUGAAUGUUGAUGGAAAUAGUAUGUAUUGAUUCCAACCUCCAAGGCCUAAAACAAAGCAGUUCUGAAAACAAGCAAUAUAUCAACACUGUCCUUCAUGGCGGCCUACUUCUAUUGGUACUAAUCUUUCUUUCUUUCUUUUUUUUCCUCUCUUUUUCAUAAAGUUCUAUGCGGAGGAAUUUGAAAUUAAAAACAAACCUUUCCCUUUAGAAAAUUAAAAGUAAAAAAAGGUAACACUGUAAUAGUUCUAUGUUGGAUAAUGGUGGGCCUGGACGCGAAGAUUUCGAGUUGCCAGGAAAGUGGAUUAAGUCCUGUCUCAAUGUCCACUGUUAGCCCUAUUUACCUUAUCCAAAGAAUUGGCGGACGACGAGGUUGGAAAAGUGCACACGCGUCCCUCAUGCUUCCAACCGUUAAAUAUUCCCUGAUCCGCAACCGCCAUCAGGAGCUGGAGCUUUCCAACUUCAGCUUCUUCGACAAUGAGAAUGUGACUGCUCUCCAGCCUCCACAGAAGGGGGACAAAAAAAAAAAAAAAAAAAGAAUACACUCGAGCUUUAGGUUUUCCAUACUGCUUCAUGAUCCAUGUUAUCUCUGCAAAAUUUCACCGGCGCCACUGCUUUAUCAUCCUCUACGCAUUCAUCGGCAGCUCGCUAUCUGUUCUCUUACCGUUUGGUGUUAAAGACGGAUUCUACACCCAGAAUUCCUCGAUGCUCUCUGAGAGUCCAGGAAUUGUCCAUGGAGGAGCCUCUAGAAUCGCAGCUUGAUAUGAGCGAGGUUUUUACAUUGAUGCAGAGUAAUAAGAACGAUCGAGUUCCAAGCGAAGGACCAGAGCAAUUACAAGAAGAAGAAGAACAGGAGGAAGAGGAUGAGAAGGGAAUUUCUAAAAUACGAGUGGCGAGGCAAAAAUACAUCCCAGUUUCCAAGGCAGAGAUCUUGGAUGCCAUUAUACUGAAGUUAUUUGAGUCUCAAGAUGAUGCCAAUGAAUUUCUCCUUCUCUCUUCGCGCUUGGAUUCUAUUCUUCACGCUGAGCACAAACGCAUUUUAGAAGAAAUGCGAACUGAUUAUUUCCUCAGUCAUUCCGUAAAAAAUGAGGAGACGAAUGAUAAUGGGUUGGCCAAUGCAGAUGGAAAAUCUGGAGUUAAUGGGGACAAUUCCGACUCUGUCAGCGAUAGCAUCAAUGGAAUUGGAAGCAUUGGGGACUCUGGGGAGGAGCCUGAAAUUGACAUGCAAUUAAAUUUCAAUUAUGGUCUGGACUUGAGGAAUCUUUUGGGUUCUUCAGCGAAAAUUGACGAGAGAUGUUCUAACGGGGAAUCCAGACUUGCUGUUGCCACUCGUUUCCAGCGUGCUUUCAUGCAGCUUCUUGAUAAUGCUCAGUUUCAAGAACUAUCGGCUCGGGAUUUGAUGUUGACAUGUGCCUUGAACUCGGAUUACCUUCUUACUUUGCCAAUAUAUGUGGACUGGAAGAAAGCAUCUGAAUCCAAUGCUAUAAUAUUCAGGAGAGGUUAUGCAACUGAGAGACAGAAAGGUCUGCUAAUUGUUGAAAAACUGGACUAUAUACAGUCCAUACUUCUGAAAAGACUAUUCUUCAUUGUAUCAAAACCACUGGAGAAAGUUGGCAAAUGGAUAAAAGAGGCUAUCACUAAUGCUUCUCAGACCCAAGAAGCACAAGAUUGGUUCAAGAGUGUGACCUUUUGGCUUGAGGAACUAUCACUUUUUAAGAAUUCAUAUUCUAAUGAUGGACAAGCCUCUGAUAAUCCUCUGGAAGUAGACCAAAUAUCGGAUAGUGAUGUUCCUAUUUGGCUUGCAGCGCAGAGGGCAGUAAGUCGUUAUGAAGGAUUUCUGUCUCCAGUUGGACCCAGAGGAAGGCUACUCAGGAAGUUGCUCACUUGGAUUGGCCUUGUACCUCCUAUACCAGCAACACCAUUUGAACUUGACAGUGACAAUAGUACUUCUGAGCCUCAUUUAAGGCCAAUUUUCUUAUCAAGGAUAUCACUUAGUGAUAUAUGGAGACCUGCUUCAAGAAAAUACUGUGGAAAUGAUCUUUGGCAAAUGUUAAAAACUUACUUUUCCAUUCUUCUAUCAUGGACAGUCCUUGAGGAACCUGCAUUCCAAGAAUUGAUUUUGCUCUAUACCAAGGAAGUGACCGAAAGUGACAUUAAGGAUAAAGCUGAAGUUCCAUCAUUGCAAUUAAAGAUCUAUGAGAGAAUUCCUAUCCCGGAACUACCACAAAUUAUUUUGCAGGUCAUUUUUCCUCACAAAAAGCUCUCUUUCCGAGUCAUAGAUACAGUAUGUACAAGUUACAUACCUAUUUGUUACAUCUUUGAAAUGUUAUGUAUAGAAGCAUUGUACGCCUGGAUGUGGCCACAAUAUUGGGACUUUCGGCAUACUUCAUCAAUUACAAAUUUGAAGACAUCUUAUCUUCCCCGUAUGAAUCUUCUAAGUGUUUAUACCAGAACUUUUGAAAUAUCAGCCCAUUUCACAAACUAUUGUGCAUAUAAAAGAUGGUAAUUAUAUCUAAAAUGUUGAGUCCAUGAUGCAAUUCAGAGGAAAGGAAUACAAGUUUUAUCAUUAUUUUCCAGUCCCUGAAGUCCUGUAUUAUAUCAGAAUUCUAAAAACCAAUCAUGUCUUUUUCCCCCUUUUGGAUUUGGACUAGUUCUUGAAAUCAUUUAAUGCUUUGAAGUUGCAUAGAGAAGCAUAUUGCUUUUUUCUCUGCGUUGCAGAUCAGCAAUAUUUCUUGAUGUCGUUGCCAUCACUGCACUGAUAAUUUAUGUGACCCGUGUGGCUUUGGGUUACAAACAGACGUGGGAUCGAUAUCAACUACUUGUUAACAGGACACUUUAUGAGAAAACACUGGCAAGUGGCUUUGGGUCUGUUCAUUUUCUUCUGGAUGCUUCUGAACAGCAGCAA
Molecule: RNA transcript, 2971 nt
Organism: Hevea brasiliensis (rubber tree)
Lineage: Eukaryota; Viridiplantae; Streptophyta; Magnoliopsida; Malpighiales; Euphorbiaceae
Exons: 10
Source: RefSeq, a predicted model, not a curated record